This is a non-coding RNA of Chelonoidis abingdonii (Abingdon island giant tortoise), 143 nucleotides long. The record is from RefSeq and is a predicted model, not a curated record. NCBI's taxonomy places the organism in Eukaryota, Metazoa, Chordata, Testudines, Testudinidae.
UCACACCGCAUCAGGGCAUGCAUGGGACAAACCCAACCCAGCCUCACAGGAACAAAGGACACUGGCCCAGGCAGCAACAGAAGGAUCUGUUGGACUGUCGAGUAAGUCACCCUCCUUCCUUUGUCAGUGUUGGACUACUAUGA